GUGGGGAAUUUUGGACAAUGGGCGAAAGCCUGAUCCAGCAAUGCCGCGUGUGUGAAGAAGGCCUUCGGGUUGUAAAGCACUUUUGUCCGGAAAGAAAUCUGUCUGGCUAAUACCUAGAUGGGAUGACGGUACCGGAAGAAUAAGCACCGGCUAACUACGUGCCAGCAGCCGCGGUAAUACGUAGGGUGCGAGCGUUAAUCGGAAUUACUGGGCGUAAAGCGUGCGCAGGCGGUUUUGUAAGACCGAUGUGAAAUCCCCGGGCUUAACCUGGGAACUGCAUUGGUGACUGCAAGGCUAGAGUGCGUCAGAGGGGGGUGGAAUUCCGCGUGUAGCAGUGAAAUGCGUAGAGAUGCGGAGGAACACCGAUGGCGAAGGCAGCCCCCUGGGAUGACACUGACGCUCAUGCACGAAAGCGUGGGGAGCAAACAGGAUUAGAUACCCUUGUAGUCC
RNAcentral lists this ribosomal RNA (450 nucleotides) under uncultured bacterium. Its description in RNAcentral is "partial 16S ribosomal RNA". It matches the Rfam family "Bacterial small subunit ribosomal RNA", at positions 354 to 796 of the family's 1533-position model. The record is from RNAcentral.